GGCGCUUCUCGGGUGAUGCAUCCCAGAAUCGGGCUCCUUCCUCUCUGGUUCUGGGUGUGUCACUUGAGCUGCC
Myotis brandtii (Brandt's bat) is the source of this 73-nucleotide non-coding RNA. The record is from Rfam. NCBI's taxonomy places the organism in Eukaryota, Metazoa, Chordata, Mammalia, Chiroptera, Vespertilionidae.